UUGAAAGCAAGCGGUGGUUGUUGUGUGUGAACACCAAAUCAGCAGCUCUAGCAGGAGUAAGCUUGUUUCUUGCAGCGCUAUGGAUGAAGCCGUACGUACUCUAGUUCCUCUCACAACAAGAGAAAGAUGUUGGCUGCCCAAGUACCUUCAAGGCUAAAAAAUUUAACAGCCUUGUGCUUACUCCAUGAGUGCCCCACCAUUGCUUAGGUUCAAAGUCAGCUCUAUCUUCAAUAGAAUCUGGAUUUUCAAAGGCAUUCAUGAAAAGAGCAAAAUCAGCAAAUUCUUUCUUGAUAGUCUUGAAAUCUUCUUGAUCUGGAUAGAACUUUCGAAAGCAUUUGUUCCUCAUUUCAGUAACUUCACUAUCAUCAUUGGGGCUGAUACGGCCAGGGACUUCGUUAAUCCAACUAGCAAUAUAGUACCUAAAUAAAAUCAGCAAGCACUUGAACAUUAAGAACCUGAAAUGAUAAACAACAUGUGCAACUUCAAUUCAGAUUUUACCUUGGAUUGAGUGAGUGAGCCAAACAAUGCAGGGGGUAUUGCUUUUGGUCCAACGGGCAACAAGGAUCUCUUUAAUGAUGUCAUACAAGAUACACUCUUCAUGGGGCUCCUUCCCCUCAAACCGAUAGAUAGGUAUUUUGACCUAUGAACAAGAUGACGAAUAAAAUCAGCAUGUUACACAUGUCAACAAUGAUCAAAUCAGCAUGUAUUCAUGUAUAUAUUAUAUACCUUCUCUAUCAUGGAAUACCAC
This 748-nucleotide long non-coding RNA is filed under the name Hordeum vulgare. RNAcentral describes it as "long non-coding RNA (HVUL_LNC004775)". The record is from RNAcentral. Lineage: Eukaryota; Viridiplantae; Streptophyta; Magnoliopsida; Poales; Poaceae.